GAUGAACGCUGGCGGCGUGCUUAACACAUGCAAGUCGAACGAAGCACUUUAUUUGAUUUCCUUCGGGACUGAUUAUUUUGUGACUGAGUGGCGGACGGGUGAGUAACGCGUGGGUAACCUGCCUUGUACAGGGGGAUAACAGUUGGAAACGGCUGCUAAUACCGCAUAAGCGCACAGCAUCGCAUGAUGCAGUGUGAAAAACUCCGGUGGUAUAAGAUGGACCCGCGUUGGAUUAGCUAGUUGGUGAGGUAACGGCCCACCAAGGCGACGAUCCAUAGCCGACCUGAUAGGGUGACCGGCCACAGUGGGACUGAGACACGGCCCAAACUCCUACGGGAGGCAGCAGUGGGGAAUAUUGCACAAUGGGCGAAAGCCUGAUGCAGCGACGCCGCGUGAGCGAAGAAGUAUUUCGGUAUGUAAAGCUCUAUCAGCAGGGAAGAUAAUGACGUUACCUGACUAAGAAGCACCGGCUAAAUACGUG
This 481-nucleotide ribosomal RNA is filed under the name uncultured bacterium. RNAcentral's name for it is "partial 16S ribosomal RNA". It matches the Rfam family "Bacterial small subunit ribosomal RNA", at positions 28 to 507 of the family's 1533-position model. The record is from RNAcentral.